CUAUCUUUUUUUCGAAAAGGAUAGGAAAGCCGGGUCGAGGACCUGGUACUCAAGGAGGGGCUCAUGUCCUAUCAGCUUGUUGGUGGGGUUAACGGCCUACCAAGGCUACGACGGGUAGCUGGUCUGAGAGGAUGAUCAGCCCACACUGGCACUGAGGAUACGGGCCAGACUCCUACGGGAGGCAGCAGUGAGGAAUAUUGCGCAAUGGGCGAAAGCCUGACGCAGCGACGCCGCGUGGGGAUGAAGGUUUUCGGAUUGUAAACCCCUUUCAUGAGGAAAGAUAAAGUGGGUAACCACUUAGACGGUACCUCAAGAAGAAGCCACGGCUAACUUCGUG
RNAcentral lists this ribosomal RNA (337 nucleotides) under uncultured bacterium. RNAcentral's name for it is "bacterial SSU rRNA". It matches the Rfam family "Bacterial small subunit ribosomal RNA", at positions 173 to 507 of the family's 1533-position model. The record is from RNAcentral.